GAGUUUGAUCAUGGCUCAGAACGAACGCUGGCGGCGCGCCUAACACAUGCAAGUCGAGCGAUUGAAGCCUUCGGGCCGAUUUAGCGGCGGACGGGUGAGUAAGGCAUAGGUAAUCUGCUUCUUAGUGGGGGACAACCGGCCGAAAGGCUGGCUAAUACCGCAUAAGCUGCCUGGGUGAAUACCAGUCAGUAAAGGCUUCGGCCGCUUUGAAAUGAGCCCUAUGUAGGAUUAGGUAGUUGGUGGGGUAAAAAGCUCACCAAGCCGACGAUCCUUAGCUGGUCUGAGAGGAUGAUCAGCCACACUGGAACUGAGACACGGUCCAGACUCCUACGGGAGGCAGCAGUGAGGAAUUUUGCGCAAUGGGGGAAACCCUGACGCAGCGACGCCGCGUGGAGGAUGAAAGUCCCUU
RNAcentral lists this ribosomal RNA (409 nucleotides) under uncultured delta proteobacterium. RNAcentral's name for it is "bacterial SSU rRNA". It matches the Rfam family "Bacterial small subunit ribosomal RNA", at positions 9 to 420 of the family's 1533-position model. The record is from RNAcentral. Lineage: Bacteria; Deltaproteobacteria.